UGGAGAGUUUGAUCCUGGCUCAGAGUGAACGCUGGCGGCGUGCCUAAUACAUGCAAGUCGAACGGACAAGUAAGAGCUUGCUCUUAUGAGUUAGUGGCGCACGGGUGAGUAAUGUAUAGCUAAUCUGCCCUACACUAGAGGACAACAGUUGGAAACGGCUGCUAAUACUCUAUACUCCUAUCUUACAUAAGUUAGAUAGGGAAAGUUUUUCGGUGUAGGAUGAGGCUAUAUUGUAUCAGCUAGUUGGUGAGGUAAUGGCUCACCAAGGCUAUGACGCAUAACUGGUCUGAGAGGAUGAUCAGUCACACUGGAACUGAGACACGGUCCAGACUCCUACGGGAGGCAGCAGUAGGGAAUAUUGCUCAAUGGGGGAAACCCUGAAGCAGCAACGCCGCGUGGAGGAUGACACUUUUCGGAGCGUAAACUCCUUUUGUUAGGGAAGAAUAAUGACGGUACCUAACGAAUAAGCACCGGCUAACUCCGUGCCAGCAGCCGCGGUA
This 500-nucleotide ribosomal RNA is filed under the name Campylobacter curvus. Its description in RNAcentral is "bacterial SSU rRNA". It matches the Rfam family "Bacterial small subunit ribosomal RNA", at positions 1 to 522 of the family's 1533-position model. The record is from RNAcentral. Lineage: Bacteria; Pseudomonadati; Campylobacterota; Epsilonproteobacteria; Campylobacterales; Campylobacteraceae.